CCUUACGUGGGGGUCCGGGCACAUUAGAGGAAGAGGAGGAAGAAGUUGGACUGACGAUGAGACGUUCAGGGGCACUGCGACACAGAGGGCAACCAUCAGAGCCUGAGACAUCUUUGUGGGAAGUCCUGUUUUGGUGGCUGCCAGACCUUGAUGAUGAAGACGAUGAAGAUGAAGAGGAUGAUAAUGACGGAGGGGUCAAAAAAGCAAAAUCAAAGAGAGGAGCGCAAUUAUCAAGCCGUCUCAGAAACAAGCCAUUGCCAGACAAAAAACUCUUGAAGCGAAGAGACAGAAAACUGAAGGACAGGAGAGCCAAGAAGGCCAGAGAUGAAGAAGUCAAAGACAAGAAAGACGGAGCUAAACAGGAAGACCCUGAAGAAGAAGAAGCAGAUGAAGAUGAGGAUGAAGGAGAGGAAGACACGAUUCCAAAGAAAAGUAAGAAGUCAGAGGGAAAGAAAGAUAAGAAAAAGACUCAAAAAGGAUGAGUGGACUCUUUCUACUGAGGCAGAUUUUAUAGAACUCGUUUUCUAAAUGUUCUUCAGUUGAAGUACUCUGGUCUCAUCUAUUAAAAUCCUAAUUCUCUCCAUCAGACUAAGAAGUAAUGAGUCUCAACGUGUGCUUACAGCCACAUGGCAGAACAGAAUCAGCAGCUCUGUGUCGCUCUCCAGGUCAGAUGUGAUUGAUGUGUGAUGGAACUUUGAAUUACUUGUGAGGAUAACUACAGUUUAAUUAAAACUUAUGUGUUGACUUCUUUAUUUAAAAUGUUCAUGUGAUCAUUUGGUUCUUUGAUUCUUUUUGGUGCUUAAAUAGAGACAUCGAAUAAACUGUGUCCAGCCAAGCCUGGUUAAAUGUCAACAAUGACGUAACACAGCAAACCUAAGAUCAAGACAGAGCAUUAUCAAUAAUUUGUCCAAUUUAGCCUGCUUUAUUGUUUAAAAGCUGCUUCAGAGGGCCUAGUUAAAGGCUCGUCUCUGAAGUAAACUCUAGCUUUUAUCCUGAUCAGCAACCUUGAGCUCAGAUGGUUGGUUCAAUAAAUCGUUGUGUGUGAUGUUUAUGGAGGAGUGCAGACUCAAGGACACAAAUGUUUCCUGUUUCUCACAGUAUUUAAUUACAAAAACAACAUCUUAAAGGAAGAGCUACCAACCAUAGCUCCAUAUCCAGAACCUAGACUGUAAUACAAAAGAGUGUGGUCAGAUUUAUACUCAUGCAAUAACACACUGCCCUGCACAUUUACAUAAACCAAACAGAUGUGUAAAAAUCUAUUAAAUGUGGACUUAAAACAUUUGUAAAAAUAACUGAACUGAAUACACCUGCAAUAUCCAAAGGGACCUUGACACUGUGGCUGACAAGCAGGGCAGUGUGACUGCACAAAAUGACAGAGCGUGAUCCUAAAAUCCUAGCAGGGGAUCAA
This is a long non-coding RNA of Acanthochromis polyacanthus (spiny chromis), 1408 nucleotides long. RefSeq lists it as uncharacterized. The record is from RefSeq and is a predicted model, not a curated record. Lineage: Eukaryota; Metazoa; Chordata; Actinopteri; Pomacentridae. The transcript has 2 exons.